GUGCUUGCUUUAUAGCACAUAUACUAAAAAUUGGGAUGAUACUGUGAUUAGCAUGGCCCCUGCUCAAGGAUGACACACAGAUUUGUGAGGUGUUCCAUAUUUUA
Cavia porcellus (domestic guinea pig) is the source of this 104-nucleotide small nuclear RNA. The record is from Ensembl. NCBI's taxonomy places the organism in Eukaryota, Metazoa, Chordata, Mammalia, Rodentia, Caviidae.